UGAUCCUCUUUGAGCCUUGGGUGACAGGAGCUGUACAGCAAGGAAAGGAAAGACCUGAAUCUCAAGACAAUGUACAAGGAUCAAAGCUAUAGAAAGAAGAAACAAAGCUAAGAUCUUGGAUCUUAGAUUAGCGCGCUUGGCAAGCAGAACGAGGAAAGAGACCAGGAUGACUCUUCAGUGGACAGCAGUGGCCUUCUUUCUCUAUGCAGAGAUAGCCGUCAACCUCAUCCUGUGUGUCCCAUUCAUAUCAGCACAGAGAUGGCGUUUGGUUUUCAAUUGGAGAAUAUGGAAAUGGUUAUCACCUUACUGUAACAAGUGCUUCUUCACCAUGAUCAUGGUUCUUAUGGUUCUUUUCCUCGAUGCUGCCCGCGAGGUGCACAAGUACUCAAGCCCGGAACCCAUGCAAGAAGCUAAGGUGAACUCCAAUCUCUUUGAACAUCUUCACAUGAGGCUCUUCAGAGCUCAGCGCAACCUCUACAUCUCAGGCUUCUCGCUCUUCCUGUGGCUUGUCAUGCAGCGGGUAAUCAUCUUGCUCAACCAGGUGGCCGUCUCUGUGGAGAACAAUGCAGGUCUUCAAGCGCAGAUGGAGAACACUGCCAAAGCGGCCAAACAGCAUCAAGAGCACAAUCGUGUACUCAAACAAACUCUCUUAGAUGAGGAAAAAGUCAUUUCAGAAAAGAAUCAGCAGCUGAAGCUUGAAGUUGAGAGCCUGUCCAGUCAGCUGAAGAUGGCAGAAGAAGGUAAGUAUUCUUGGCAACCUUUCCAGAAGCGGCAAAAGUACUCACACUCUGUACAGUAGAAGUAGAGAUACAUGUGUAAAAAAAAAAAUGACUCUCGUAAAAGCAAAAGUACUGAUUCAACUCCUUUCGUUAAAAAGUAAAAAGUACAGACUACAAAAAGUACAAAAUCAAAAAGUAAAAAUGAAUUUUUACUGACAAGUAUAAACUAUACCAGUGGUUCUCACUGGGGCCUCCAUUUUCUUAUUGUUGCAAAGUCUUGACCCACUUUUAUAGAUUUUUAAGAUUUUUUUUUUUUUUAAAUAGCCUCUGAAAACACAUGUACACUGUGUUAGAUUUUUUUAAUGCCAUUUCAAACGGGUUUGUUGUACCGCCAAAAGCAUAUUGCUUGACAUGACUUCCGUCAACCAAAGGGUGUGCUGCACUAUAUUUGUUUACAUAGUAAACUAGUGACUAGAGCUCAAGGAAGAAGUAUUUCUUGUUCUUGUGGUUUCCUACCAUUUUCCAUGUGGGAACUUCGUAAACCUCUGUACUGUACUGAAAAAAUCUAAAUAGGAAUACGUGUAUUUUUUUUGACUAGCUGUCUGCAACCUACGUUGUUGUUGGUUUUCAUAUUAGACUGAUAAUUUCUGAGCCCCAGACCCUCACGGUUUUUAGGCCAGCACAAGACACAACGCAUUUGCUACGAAUCAUACUUGGAGCAGACAAAAUUAAAGCAUUCACUUAAAUAGGGCCACGGAUGGGCAAUAUCUUGCUUCUCUGAAUCUGUUGCAUUCAUUGAUUCAUUUUCCAUACUGCUUAGCCUUACUAGGGUUGUGGGUGUGCUGGAGCCUAUCCCAACGGACUCUGGGCGAGAGGCGGGGAACACCCUGAACUGGUCACCAGCCAACAGCAGAGCACAUAGAAACAAACAGCCAUUCGCACUCACAUUCACACCUAUGGGCAAUUUAAAGUCUUCAGUUAACCUAUCAUGCCUGUUUUUAGGAUGUGGGAGGAAACCGGAGUAUCCGUAGAAAAUCCACGCAGGCAUGUGGAGAACAUGCAAACUCCACACAGGCGAGGCCGGAGCCCAGGUCCUCAGAACUGUGACUCAGAUCUGUGCACAAGUCCCACGCUGAAGUGGA
This is an RNA transcript of Phycodurus eques (leafy seadragon), 1861 nucleotides long. It is a transcript of the gene named B cell receptor associated protein 29, with no coding region annotated. Lineage: Eukaryota; Metazoa; Chordata; Actinopteri; Syngnathiformes; Syngnathidae. The record is from RefSeq and is a predicted model, not a curated record. The transcript is spliced from 7 exons.